Long non-coding RNA from Phyllopteryx taeniolatus (common seadragon), 1280 nucleotides. RefSeq lists it as uncharacterized. The transcript has 3 exons. Lineage: Eukaryota; Metazoa; Chordata; Actinopteri; Syngnathiformes; Syngnathidae. The record is from RefSeq and is a predicted model, not a curated record.
UAUACAUCAUGACUAUUAAACCGUAGUCUGGUACUAAUUCAAAAGCAGAAAGAAGAGGGAACUGUGAAAACCUUGUCACAUCAAACACACCAGACAACAGCUAGCAACAACGGCAGAGCACAAGGGUCUCCUGGAUUUACCUCUUCGCAAAGGAGACAAUUUUAUUCACGAGAAGACUGAGGGCAGAGAGAAAACGGGCCGCUGCAGCAAAGUCGAGUCUGUGGAGUAUAAAACUUUAAAAGUCCGGGACUAACAGACAGCAACAUGGAUAUUUGUGAGAUCACACACUGAUGUUGGACGAGAAGGCCUGGCUCACUGUCUACUCGAAAUUAACCCAGAGGUGCUCUAUCGGGGUGCAGAGACAUGUUAGUACAGGAAGGCAGAGGUGGGACCAAGCCAUUGCUUUGCAAGUCACAAGUAAGUCUUAAGUCUUUACCCUCAUGUCCCGAGUCAAGUUACGAGUCAAGACAAGCUAGUCCCGAGUCAAGUCACAAGUCCUACACUUUGAGUUUCGAGUCCUCUCAAGUCAUUUUAACAUCCAUCCAUCCAUUUCCCGUACCGCUUAUCCUCACUAGGGUCGCGGGCGUGCUGGAGCCUAUCCCAGCUAUCUUUGGACGAGAGGCGGGGUAUACCGUGAACUGGUUGCCAGCCAAUCGCGAGUCAUUGCUGUUCCAGUCCAAGUCGAGUUGCAAGUCUUGUGACAUUUUGUCAAGUCGAGUCUAAAGUCAUCAUAUCUAUGACUCGAGUCUGACUCGAGUCUAAGUCAUGUGACUCAAAUCCACACUUCUCCAGGAAACUAUUUGAUUGUCCAAAAUCUCUUGGUAUGCUGAAGCACUCAGAGUUUCUGUCAAUGGAGCUCUGGGGCUAACAUUUUGGACAUUUUCAACUCUGUGGGAACAGUUUGAAGAUGCCCUCUUCCUGUUCCAACAUGACUGUGCAUCAGUGCACAAAUCAAGGUUCAUAAUGACAUGGAUGUGAGAAUUUUAUGUGGAUGAACUUGAGCCAGGCCUUCUCGUCCAACAUCAGUGUGUGACCUCACAAAUGGUCAAAAACUUCCAUAAACACACUCCUAAACCUUAUGGAAAACCUUCCCAGAAGAGUUUAAACUGUUAUGCUGUAACUGCAGAGGGUGGACCAAUGUCAUAUUCAGCCCUCUGGAUUAAGAAUGGAAUGUCACUUAAAUUUAUAUCUGAGUCAAGACAGGUUGAGCGAUUACUCUUGGCAUCAUCAACCUUGUAAAGCCUGCUACAGUGUAUCAUUAAUAGUUUUCUUCUUUAAUA